RNAcentral lists this transfer RNA (83 nucleotides) under Bacilli bacterium. RNAcentral's name for it is "tRNA-Leu". It matches the Rfam family "tRNA". Rfam says of the family: Transfer RNA (tRNA) molecules are approximately 80 nucleotides in length. Their secondary structure includes four short double-helical elements and three loops (D, anti-codon, and T loops). The record is from RNAcentral. Lineage: Bacteria; Bacillati; Bacillota; Bacilli.
GUGCUGGUGGCGGAAUUGGUAUACGCGUUAGUUUCAGGAGCUAAUCCGAGAGGGUGUGGGUUCGAGUCCCAUCCAGCGCACCA